RNAcentral lists this ribosomal RNA (472 nucleotides) under uncultured bacterium. RNAcentral's name for it is "bacterial SSU rRNA". It matches the Rfam family "Bacterial small subunit ribosomal RNA", at positions 355 to 825 of the family's 1533-position model. The record is from RNAcentral.
UGGGGAAUAUUGGACAAUGGGCGAAAGCCUGAUCCAGCCAUGCCGCGUGUGUGAAGAAGGUCUUCGGAUUGUAAAGCACUUUAAGUUGGGAGGAAGGGCAGUAAGUUAAUACCUUGCUGUUUUGACGUUACCGACAGAAUAAGCACCGGCUAACUCUGUGCCAGCAGCCGCGGUAAUACAGAGGGUGCAAGCGUUAAUCGGAAUUACUGGGCGUAAAGCGCGCGUAGGUGGUUUGUUAAGUUGGAUGUGAAAGCCCCGGGCUCAACCUGGGAACUGCAUCCAAAACUGGCAAGCUAGAGUACGGUAGAGGGUGGUGGAAUUUCCUGUGUAGCGGUGAAAUGCGUAGAUAUAGGAAGGAACGCCAGUGGCGAAGGCGACCACCUGGACUGAUACUGACACUGAGGUGCGAAAGCGUGGGGAGCAAACAGGAUUAGAUACCCCCGUAGUCCCUGAGCGGGCUGGCAAGGCGCAU